This 159-nucleotide transfer RNA is filed under the name Bryobacterales bacterium. RNAcentral describes it as "tRNA-Ser". Lineage: Bacteria; Pseudomonadati; Acidobacteriota; Terriglobia; Bryobacterales. The record is from RNAcentral.
AGCUGCGUGGCGCAAGUUGCUGGAGAACGUCAGCUUCGGGACUGGAGAGAAGCCGCCCAAGAAGUGGCUGAAGCCCGCCGUCGUCGCUCUGAAAGCCCUCGGCGCCGAUGAGUUCCGCACCGGCAUCCGCGAAUGGUUCGAGCCCUUCCGCAGCGGCCA